ACAUUAUUUAAUUAAACAUAGUAUAAUAGCUAGUUAUUAUUAAGCUUAAUAUUAUGACAUGAGUUUUUAUAGUAAAUAAUAUGACAGUUAAGGUUAUACUUACUAUUUGAAAAUGUUAAUAUUAGUAGUAUAGGUAAAUGUAUUAAAGGAACUCGGCAAAUAACUUCUCAACUGUUUAUCAAAAACAUAGCUAUAUGAAUUAAUAUAUAGUUAUUUCUGCUCCAUGAUUAUUAAAUAGCCGCAGUACCCUGACUGUGCAAAGGUAGCAUAAUCAGUUGGCUCUUAAUUAGGGUCUGGUAUGAAAGAAAAUAUGGGUAGUAACUGUCUUAAUAUAUUUAUUUGAAAUUAAUAGGCAAGUGCAAAUACUUGCAUACAUAAAAAAGACGAGAAGACCCUAGAAACUUGAAAUGGGUUUUGUUGGGGCGACAGAAUUACACUUAACUAAUUUUAUGGGACAUGACACGAAGUUGAAAGAAUAAGUUACUCUAGGGAUAACAGCAUAAUUUAAAUAGUUUGUGACCUCGAUGUUGGACUAGGUAUUAUACCUUUAAGGUAAAGUUAUAAAAUGCUCUGUUCGAGCAUAUACACCUACAUGAUCUGAGUUCAGACCGG
Molecule: ribosomal RNA, 612 nt
Filed under: Helix albescens
Lineage: Eukaryota; Metazoa; Mollusca; Gastropoda; Stylommatophora; Helicidae
Description: partial 16S ribosomal RNA
Source: RNAcentral